This 497-nucleotide ribosomal RNA is filed under the name uncultured bacterium. RNAcentral's name for it is "partial 16S ribosomal RNA". It matches the Rfam family "Bacterial small subunit ribosomal RNA", at positions 28 to 507 of the family's 1533-position model. The record is from RNAcentral.
GAUGAACGCUGGCGGCGUGCCUAAUACAUGCAAGUCGAGCGAACAGACGAGGAGCUUGCUCCUCUGACGUUAGCGGCGGACGGGUGAGUAACACGUGGAUAACCUACCUAUAAGACUGGGAUAACUUCGGGAAACCGGAGCUAAUACCGGAUAACAUGUUGAACCGCAUGGUUCAGCAGUGAAAGACGGUCUUGCUGUCACUUAUAGAUGGAUCCGCGCCGCAUUAGCUAGUUGGUAAGGUAACGGCUUACCAAGGCAACGAUGCGUAGCCGACCUGAGAGGGUGAUCGGCCACACUGGAACUGAGACACGGUCCAGACUCCUACGGGAGGCAGCAGUAGGGAAUCUUCCGCAAUGGGCGAAAUCCUGACGGAGCAACGCCGCGUGAGUGAAGAAGGUCUUCGGAUCGUAAAACUCUGUUAUUAGGGAAGAACAAAUGUGUAAGUAACUAUGCACGUCUUGACGGUACCUAAUCAGAAAGCCACGGCUAACUACGUG